GGAACCUGGAAUCUCUGAGAACGAGUGUCUCUCGCGCCUCUUCAAGGGUAUUUUAUGAAAAGAAAGGAGAAAUCACUGAAUUGCUCAGCAUAACAGAGGAAGAGGAAUUUUGAAUUUCCAUGCCUACUUCUGGAGAGAGCAGUUGAAGAACUCAAGAAAGGACAGGUAUAAGGAGAAACUGGGGCAAAAGAAGAGUCCCAAUAAUCAAGUACAUUAUGAGGAUCCUAUUAAGGGCUGAUGGCAAUAGCUCCUGUGGGAAAUGAAGGAAUUUUGGCAUCACCAAGCAGGAGGACGUGGCGUCCACCACAGAAGAUUCUGAAGAUUAACUGCAGCCCAGCAUGGCCUCUGCGUGCCUUGUGAGUUGGACCACUUCAGACCUCCUACUGUGCAUCGCAUGUGCUCACCAGAGGUGUGCCAUGGUGCUAAGUACCCAAGGACUGUACAAAUGGUCACCUAUGAUGCCUACAUGAGGAGGAGUCACCAUGGUCAGGCAGUUAAUGCAUGAGCUUUGGAAUCAGACAGACUGAGUUCAAAUACUGACUUUUCCACUCUCACGUGUGUAAUGAGGAAGGUU
This is a long non-coding RNA of Sus scrofa (pig), 574 nucleotides long. RefSeq lists it as uncharacterized. The record is from RefSeq and is a predicted model, not a curated record. NCBI's taxonomy places the organism in Eukaryota, Metazoa, Chordata, Mammalia, Artiodactyla, Suidae.